AACGGGGGGGACAAGUGUUACUCAGCAUAAUUGGGCGUAAAGGGUGCGUAGGUUGUUUUUUAAGUUAGAUGUAAAAUCCAAGGGCUUAACCUUUGAAAUACGUCUAAAACUAUAAAACUAGAGUAUAGCAGAGGAUAGUGGUAUUCUUAAUGUAGAGGUGAAAAUUCGUAGAUAUUAAGAGGACCUUCAAUAGGCGAAGGCGACUGUCUGGGCUAUAACUGACACUGAGGCACAAAAGCAUGGGGAGCAAACAGG
Molecule: ribosomal RNA, 255 nt
Filed under: uncultured bacterium
Lineage: Bacteria
Description: partial 16S ribosomal RNA
Rfam family: Bacterial small subunit ribosomal RNA
Source: RNAcentral